UGUCUACACCACUAAGCACAGAUUAUGUCUGUGCUACAUAAUUGAACAAAUAUCAAGUAUUGGAAAUAAAUUAUUCUAUUUGUUAUGACAUUGAUGUAGCACAGACAUAAUCUGUGCUUAGUGGUGUAGACAUC
This 134-nucleotide microRNA precursor is filed under the name Pelobates cultripes (western spadefoot toad). The record is from RNAcentral. Lineage: Eukaryota; Metazoa; Chordata; Amphibia; Anura; Pelobatidae.